This 253-nucleotide ribosomal RNA is filed under the name uncultured bacterium. RNAcentral describes it as "partial 16S ribosomal RNA". It matches the Rfam family "Bacterial small subunit ribosomal RNA", at positions 524 to 776 of the family's 1533-position model. The record is from RNAcentral.
UACGUAGGUGGCAAGCGUUGUCCGGAUUUAUUGGGCGUAAAGGGCUCGUAGGCGGUUUGUCGCGUCGGGAGUGAAAACACCGGGCUUAACUCGGUGCUUGCUUCCGAUACGGGCAGACUGGAGGUAUGCAGGGGAGAACGGAAUUCCUGGUGUAGCGGUGAAAUGCGCAGAUAUCAGGAGGAACACCGAUGGCGAAGGCGGUUCUCUGGGCAUUACCUGACGCUGAGGAGCGAAAGUGUGGGGAGCGAACAGG